UGAACGCUGGCGGCGCGCCUAACACAUGCAAGUCUAUCCUGAUGUUUACAUCGGGAGGCAAACGGGUGAGUAGUACUUUGGUAACCUACUCUCGACUCAAGCAUAACCCAGAGAAAUUUGGGAUAAUACUUGAUAGUCAUGGGGGGUCUUAUGACAUUCCCAUGUAAAGAUUUUUCGGUCGAGAAGGGGCCUAAGGCCUAUCAGCUAGUUGGCGGGGUAAAAGCCCACCAAGGCUAUGACGGGUAGCUGGUCUGAGAGGACGAUCAGCCACAUCGGCACUGAGACACGGGCCGGACUCCUACGGGAGGCAGCAGUGAGGAAUUUUGCACAAUGGGGGAAACCCUGAUGCAGCGACGCCGCGUGACCGAAGAAGCUUUUCGGAGUGUAAAGGUCUUUUCUAGAGGAUGAAUUAUGACAGUACUCUAGGAAUAAGCCACGGCUAACUCU
RNAcentral lists this ribosomal RNA (447 nucleotides) under uncultured bacterium. Its description in RNAcentral is "bacterial SSU rRNA". It matches the Rfam family "Bacterial small subunit ribosomal RNA", at positions 30 to 504 of the family's 1533-position model. The record is from RNAcentral.